GAGGGUACAGCUCAGUGGCAGAGCACAUGCUUAACGUGCAUGAAGUCCUAGGUUCAAUCCCCACUACCUCUA
This 72-nucleotide transfer RNA is filed under the name Camelus bactrianus (Bactrian camel). It matches the Rfam family "tRNA". From Rfam's summary of the family: Transfer RNA (tRNA) molecules are approximately 80 nucleotides in length. Their secondary structure includes four short double-helical elements and three loops (D, anti-codon, and T loops). The record is from Rfam by way of RNAcentral. Lineage: Eukaryota; Metazoa; Chordata; Mammalia; Artiodactyla; Camelidae. RNAcentral also lists the same sequence under 2 other names.